This 2039-nucleotide long non-coding RNA is filed under the name Daphnia pulex (common water flea). RNAcentral describes it as "uncharacterized LOC124189980, transcript variant X2". The record is from RNAcentral. Lineage: Eukaryota; Metazoa; Arthropoda; Branchiopoda; Diplostraca; Daphniidae.
ACGCUCUGCUGGUGAACGACCAUUUUGAUCCUGACAACUGCCCGUCAAAGAAAACCACAGCGCGCCAUCCCGGGCCCAUGCACUUGCUUUUCUCCCCCCUGCCAUCAUCAUUAUCGAGAGGGAUAUGAUGAUCGUUUUAUUAAUUUUUAUUUAUUUAUUUAAAGAAAAACCAUUUUAGCCAAAAAGUUAAAACUAUAAAGAAAUGAAACGAAUCGUUUCACAUCUUUGAACUUUCGUCGGCAUAUGUACAACAGCAUAUGCAUAUGACGCUAUUGCCUAGAAAAUGUGACAAAUGGGAAAACAUGAAUUUUCCAAUUUUUAUUGUUUCACUGGAGCGUCUCAUCCAUCGUGAAAGAUCCGUGACGUUAAGAUCCCCACCCAGCAGCAGCAGUCGAGGGGUGUGUGGCGCAAUAAAACAUUCGAUCGAUGUGCCAUCGCAUUUCCCUCCCGUCAUAUUUUUUCCCACCGAUUGUUUCUUUGUUUUUUUUUUGUUUCCAGAGAAAAAGAAGAGACGAAUUGUAAAAGACAAAGUUGGCAAAAUAAAAGGAUAAAUAAAUAAACAAAUAAAUAAUAACCGAGCGCUAGAGGAAGGGGGAAGGGAUCCACCCCCCCCCCCCCCAAAAAAAGGGCGUGGAACCCGCGUUCGUACUGUUAUUGAUCUAAACACGAAACAAACACACACACACACAGUCUGGCGUAUGUUACACAAUUGGCAGUUGAAUUGUUUCCACCAUUAUUUAUUUUUUAUAAAUCUUGUUUCAAAUUUCCCGCCCUAUCGAUCGGCUUCAAAAUGUCUGAAUUAUUCCAAGAAAAAGUUGCGUCUAGAAAACUUAGAUAAGAUGAAUUGUCAACUAAAGAAGCCAAAGAAGUAAUAGCACAGAGUCUAUUCAAACUUACUGUUAGUGUAAACUAUACACACUGAAAUUAUAAAUAUCAAACUAAACUGACCUAAACUAAACUAAAUAAACUUAAUUUAACCUAACCUAACACACAACACACAUCACACAAGAAGAUACAAAAACACAGCUAAGGAAUCUGUAAAAGUGAUUCCGCUCAAAUCUUCAAAUCUGGAGUUAGGAAAAAGAGUUGGAGCUACUUGUGUUACGCUACAAUAAUUUGAAAAGCAAACAUGAAAAGGAUGUCUGCGAAAUGGAAGAAAUAAACAAGAGGCUAAAUGAAAAGAUUAAAGAAACCUUCCGCAUAUUUGCAUAAUCUUUGACCGAUUUAAAAUGGACGUUACUUUCAAAACAAAAAAAGGGAACCUAUGUACAAAAGAACACCGUGAAGAUGUUUUUUACGAGUCCGAGAUGCCGGACCAACCCCAAAGUAUGGAAAAAGAAUCUGAAAAAGCUCCAACGGUCAACCAUACGCAUAAGGAAUCUGUAAAGGUCAUUCCACUCCAAAAAACAAAGCUCGAGUUGGAGAAAGAGUUGGAAUCUCUCAUCUUACGCUACACCAGUCUGAAAACCAAACAUGAAGAGGAGCUCUGUGAAAUGGAAGAUAUCAACAAAAGCUUAAGGAUCUGCUCAAAUAUGAAAAAGAUUUAGAUAAAAGAUUUGGGGAGCUAAAUAACUGAAUUAAUUGAACUGAAGUAAAAUGAUGUUCUUUGAAAGUAAGCUUACUGACAUUUUAGAAUACAAAAGUUGAAAUUAAACAGCUCACCAAAUCAAAUCAGCUAAUCCAAAUGAGGGAAACACGGAAAAAAACAAAAAAACAGUCUUCUUUAUCUAUGCCCAUGGUACAAACUCAAGUUUUCCUAACACCUGGCAACGCCGAAGGGGGAUGAGCAACAUUUUUGCAAAAAGCUUAAAGGAACCCGUCCCCCUCCCGCAAAUUUGAAUAUUUCUCGUUCGAAAUUUAUCACGAACCAAUUUUUAAAAGCAAAAAUGGCAACUUAUUCAAGAAAGAGGAUGUGGUAGAUUAUUACUAUGAAUCUGAAGUUCCUGAUCAGCCAUUCCAGCCAUCAGCCAAACAAGAUCAAGUGAUAGCGGAAAAAGUUGAAUCAGCAAAUCCACCCAUGAAAUCGGUCAAAGUAUUUC